UUUGUGUUUAAUAACAACUAAUAUUUAACCAGGAAAAUGCCUCGUUGUACAUUUCAAGUCAGAUCUAUUCCAGAGUAAAAACAAAAAACUGUUAGAUGUCAAAUCAGCAGCAGAGCAGAAGCUGGUGUGUGGACGAGAGCAGGCGGCGGCAGGAGGAAGUGACGAACAGCUGCAGUCACAGUAAGUACAGGAAGUCAGAAACGCUCCCGUCCCGUCAGAGCCGUCAGGUGAAGCCCGACAGCAGCAGACGGAGGGGCGGAACAUACCAGCGGGGGCCACGUCUUUCAUCAUGUUAAGCUUUGCUAGGUAAUGUUGAUACAUAUAAUGUCAUAUGACAUUGUAGCUAUGAUGCUGAUUAAUUUAUCUUAGACAAUGCAAAUGUUACAUAUUUUGUAAGGGAUGAGAGCGGCCUCGGAGAGCCUCCACUAUUUUUUGUUUGGAUACAAAGUUCAGUCUCUCAACCGAUUUAUUCAGCCAAUUUGAAUUUAGUUAUGACACUAAUUACUUAGAAAUAAAAACAAUCUUUUUAUUCCAGGCUUUUCGAGGGCCCUACCUCCAUUGGGGCCCUGGGUAGAAAGUCCCACUUUCCCCCCACUGCCAGAAUGUAGGACAGAAAAAGUCGGAUGAAUUUGUCUUGGAGUAUUUUAAUUCUGAACGCAGGGUAUUUCAGACACCAUUGGCUGAAAAUGAAUGAUGGAAAAGUGGCAAGACUUCAGGCUCUCUUCCCAGACGUCAAGGGACAUUGUGCUAGUGAAAAAUACCAUCAGUUUUUAGACGGCUCCUCCUUUCCACCAUCCAUUCAUUCAGGGAAUUCAUGAAUGAUUGAAAAUGGGCAAUCACUGUAGAAAACGUGUCUUGUAUAUAGCGGAACAUGUUGUCUGUCGGUUAACUGAUGUUUCGGCUCAGGAUAUUAAAAACAGGGUGAGCAUGAGCGGUUUUAUCAGACGUUGAAGAAAGCCUAUUGGACGUUGUUCAGUCCCAUUCUGUACACACACCUCGGGAACUGUGUGGGAACCGUCACACAUUGGACCUCAUCGACGAUUGUUCAGUGUCUGAAACCUUUUGUGAAAUCAUAAAAGAGAUGACUAAAGACUCCCAUGUGACAGUGAACCAUCUGUUUACUCUGCACUUUGUUUGUAGAUGAGCCGUGCAGGAUGAAACGGGGAAAUAUAUACAUAUAUAUAUAUAUAUAUAUGUGUGUAUAUAUAUAUAUAUAUAUAUAUAUAUAUAUUAUACUCUGCAUAAGGCUGCCAGGAUACAUUUAGUCAGAAACAGAGUUUUUGUACCAUGACCCCUACAUCAGUUUCAGGCAGACCUUUGCGGCAUGCAAGCCUUGGCCAAACAUAACGACGGUUUUAAUUAUCUAUGGUCAUCGAUGUAUUUUCCAAAUAGGCCUGCAUACGAGUGUAUGAAAACAGGAGCCGAGGUCAUUAGGGCGUUUGACUCCAUUUUAAGAGACAGCCAGAACCCAGAAAGUUACUGGCACACCUGCCCCUGGGACUCUUCAGUUCCCUACCGGAUGCCUCUCCCGGAGCAGCCUCUCUCCUCCCCUCUCCCUGUGUGUCUACACAGAGUGAUUGUCUGCAGGUGUGCUGAAGUCAAUCGAGACCUCUUCUUAAGACUCUGCCCAGCCAUCUGCACACUGCACAAUCGUCAGAGUUCGCUACGCUCCAGCCUCCAUCACCUCCUGUUUUGCCUGUUUCUAACUCCGUUCUCCAUCUCCUCGCAGACCUGCCAGCCCUGACUUCGGCCUCUGUUCCCUCCGCUGCUCAGAUUUCGGCAACUUUGCCUCCCGAUCUACUUCACUCCAGUCUCCAGCUCACUUAGCUUUUCUCCGGGAAAUCCCCCUGGACCCCUGGACGCUCCCCUGGCUCUGUUCGGCUCCAAACCCCGGCUCCAAACCCCGGCUCUCCCCUGACGUUAAAGCACACCCUCUCGUGUAAUAUUGCUUAAUUCAAGACCAAUCUUUUGUCUUCAGACCAUUCUCACAAGUUGUAACAAUCUCUGAACAUUUGUAAAGAACAGACAGUGUGGUGAAAGACUGAUUCCAUAUACAACGUUGAUUUCCAUUGCAUCGUUUUUUAUCACAUCAUCUCGGGAAUUCUCCAGGAUGGAGUAAGUUUGCACAUUAACGCGGGAUAAGGGGUGGAGAGUGUUACCCCUCAGUAAGGCCGGCCACCUAAACCUGACCUAAACGCACAGCGGGCGAAAUGGUCGCUUUCUUGACAAACAGAGAGGCUGCCGGUAUAUUUAAUCGGGACUUGCCGGUGGGGGCACACAUGAGACAGAAGACGUCGUUAGCGUUAGAGUUCAAAAGAAGCCUCUUGCUGAACAAUAUGUCAGCGUGGAGAGGACCCAACCGGUGAACCUCUUUAGAAUUAACCCUCUGUUGGACUGUUGUUAGUCACUGCGGAGUCUAUAGAGCCGGCCAUGUCUUCGUAAAAUAACCCGACGCAGAACUGACUGAUAUUUUAGUGUGAGUCACAGGCAGUAAAAAAAGUAGAUGAUACUGACUGCCCGUCUGAAAUUCAAAUCUCUUUUGAAUGGAGAAGAGUAAAAAAAUUCAAAGUAGGCCGGUGUGCGGGUCUGAAAUCUCCAUCAAGGCGCUCCGUUUAUGACGCCAUUACCUGGAUCAAAGCGGAGCGCACCGGUCGCUCACCGUCUUUCCACUGUAACUCUGUUACUGCAGCAGGCGCUCAACGUUGACCUUUAAUUUCCCCAAGGAAGGCCUUAACUCGAUGAGCAACAGACUGUUUUGUGUUUGCUGAAACACUUUUUGGAUCCCGAUUGUUGCACUCUACAUACAGUAACAAUCUUUGCCUUGCGAAGGAAGACAGGUUUUACCAUUUUGCUUCAUGGAGAAAAGGAUAACCGCUGAGUCUCUCUCUCUCCGCUGAAAGUCCACUGCUGCUUCCCUCCGCUGCCGCCCGAAGGAAGAGUUUGGCCGUUGAACCCGCCGACAGCGCGGCCCGGCCACGUCAGUAUCUGAGCCCGAGAGGAGUCCGCCGGACAAUCCAAACGGACUGACACAUUCAGUCGCUGUCAAGAGCGAUCUCAAGGAAGAGGCUUGUGUCUGGCAGAGAGAGGUUUCUAACUGUGUGUUAUUCCAUCCAGGCUUCAUUGCUGUGAAUUGUGCUUUGCAUUAGUGUGGAAAGGAACGGACCGCCGUGUCCUGUUUGGCUGCGCUUUCCUUUGUUCCAUUGUGCAUCGGUACCACGCCACUGGGCCGUUGUGAGUUUUAGAGACUGUGGAAGCCAGUAACUGCUUCAUCAGACCAAAGUCCAGUCACACGGCUGCUGAAUGAGAGUCUGCUGCCGGGUUCCUGUGUGAUACGGGGACAGCUAUUGUCUUACGUGACAUUUGAGACUUCUGGUGCCUUACUCUGCGUGCUUUUCUUGCUCUCUCCUCUUCACUAACCAACACACCUUUACACGUACAUAUACACACUUACACACACAUUUCAAAGGGCCCAGUGGUAGAACAACUCGUUACGCUCCACGCCAUUUUGGCUCUGCCCCUUUGUUUCAGAUUUGCGGGUCUGCCCGCCAUUUUGGAUCUGUGCGUGAUGACCGCCCAUGUGGUCACGUCCGCCACCUUCCUCGCACCCCCCCGCUCUAAUGUCUCACACACACACACUCGCUUGCUGACUGUUGUAUGCUCAUUGUGUUUGGAUUAGACGAUAGUGGUUGUUGGCUGAAGUUAUUGAUUAUUAAUCAGUGCUGAGGUUAAAUAAACACUAUUGUAUCUUUUAAAGAGCAUCUGCCUGUGGUUAGUGUGUACGUGUUGUAACAGCUGGUUGUGACGGUCAGUGCUGGAUCUCACCCUCCACUGUUCACCAUUAUUAAUGUAAGAGGUGGACAGCCACCUUUGAGACUUUUCAUAUUAUCGAUAGUCAGAGUAUUACUGCUCCGCCACAGGCGCUCAGCUAAGUUAUUAACCUGGGCUUUUGGCUUGAGGCUCUGUGCGCGCUCCCAUAAAAGAGGGCGUUUGAGCGUCAUUUGACUGUUCUUCCACACAAAAUGGAGCAGCCCCGUUUCCUAGCAAUUACAUUUCUAUGCGACUAAUUUGCAACAGUAAAUUCGUUUUGAGGGAAACGUAAUCGCCGCCUACUUUUAUUGACAGGGACGAUGCAGUUUCUAAUGUUCAACUCUUAUCCCUAGUUAGGCUUUUACAUGUAGGCUACAGUGUGAUUGGUCUUCCAGAGCGGACAGCCUUUUAUGGAGAAAGCUGAUUGUCCAAAUGUAGGUGUUCAUGUGGUAUUUUACAAUUACCAUCACGAUGCUCCUCCUUAUAAUGGAGAGCAGAACAACAGGCCUCUAAAAACUGCUGAAGAGAGGAAUGCUUGGCAGAAUAAGUCAGUAUAUUUAUUUGACCUCUCAGUGCCUCCUCAUUUCUAACAUGGCCGCUGCACAUUCAGAUUUUAACUUCAUACUCGAGAAGUGCAUUCUGCACCGACACCGUCCCAGAAUGAAGGACACGUGGAAAUCACAGGUUUUGGCCAAAUCAAAGAGAAAGGAAUUGUAUUGAUUGAAUAUUGUCUGUGAUAAAUACCAAUAGACUAAUCAAUGUUCUAAUCUGUGCCUCUAAUCAGCUGCAUUACCGGCGGCGUAAAACGGACCAAACAUAAAACCACCACCCGAAGUGGUCUGUAGCUGCUGAGCCUUCAUCCUUCUGUUGGUGUGUUGAUAUCACAGAUUUUCUGCAGGUUCCCAUGGCAACGCGAUGUCUGCGACAGGCCGAGUGUAACUGCCCGGCUUCGCUCGAGGCUCAGCAGGUUUAAUAUGUAACGCUUUCCCUAAGAGAACACCGUCGGGAGCAGAAGCAGCGAGAGGCCGGCGCUCUUCCUCCCCCGGAGCAGGCCGGGUGUUCAGCAUCACUUCCCAUGGCGAUCAGAGCCAGCUUCGUGACACGGACAGCUCUGGCUUUAGGCUCACCAAAGCUCGCUCCGCGGUUAGCACGUUGCCUUCUCAUCUGAGUUUUGAAAUGAUUUUGUUAACAGCUAUUUUUCCCCAAAUGACUUUCUUUCACCUGUUUUGCUCUUCUUAUUUGGUAGGCUUCAGUUUUUUUGAAAGACAUGAUGCCCAGAGGUUCUCUUUGAAUCCUUUGGUGCAGAAGCAUCAGGUCCAAACGUACUGCAGGAGCGGACUAUCUCUUACAAUCUGUUAUUGUUUAAGACACAAACAACUGUCCUGCAGGCCGGGCAACCCGGCUUACCUCGGCCUGCCCGGCCUGCACAGCUGGGGGGCACGCUGACGCCGAUGCAGGUGUCCUGGAUUGUGGACUGUCUGACUGGUCGGCCACUGCGUGGUUGACACUGUGGUGAGCAACACGGGGCCCCUCAGACGAUGGUCCCGCCAUCCUUUCUGUUCACCCUCUACACCUCGGACCUCAGACACAACUCCAAGUGCUGCCACCUGCCGAAGUUCUCAGACGACUCUGCAAAAAUCUGUGUUUUGCUGCCCUCUGUGGUUGAACGUUUCAAACCUGUUUCGCCUCUGACCACCCCCAACAGUGAUGUCACGGGCUCCUGGUAUCACCUGCACAUCAGUGCAGCAAGAUUUGGAGAAUUCGGAUUCGGAUUUUGAGCAGGGAGCAGAGGACGUAGAUGGAGACGGAGACGGCGAUGUCCCUGUGUUUUCACAGAGUCCAGACCUCACAGCCUGCGUGCUGUUAUUGGAGAAAAUACAGGCAGCGUCUCUGCAGAGACAGACACCGCCACACACUUCUACUGGGUCAGAAGUGACGACUGAGACGGAUCACUUUUGUAUGAGGCUACACAUUGUUUUUUAGGAAGAUCCUACUCACUCUGCCUUUUAAAUAACA
Molecule: long non-coding RNA, 5823 nt
Organism: Siniperca chuatsi (mandarin fish)
Lineage: Eukaryota; Metazoa; Chordata; Actinopteri; Centrarchiformes; Sinipercidae
Exons: 2
Source: RefSeq, a predicted model, not a curated record